Molecule: ribosomal RNA, 529 nt
Filed under: Vibrio sp.
Lineage: Bacteria; Pseudomonadati; Pseudomonadota; Gammaproteobacteria; Vibrionales; Vibrionaceae
Also listed under: 1 other name
Description: bacterial SSU rRNA
Rfam family: Bacterial small subunit ribosomal RNA
Source: RNAcentral
AGAGUUUGAUCCUGGCUCAGAUUGAACGCUGGCGGCAGGCCUAACACAUGCAAGUCGAGCGGCAGCACAGAGAAACUUGUUUCUCGGGUGGCGAGCGGCGGACGGGUGAGUAAUGCCUGGGAAAUUGCCCUGAUGUGGGGGAUAACCAUUGGAAACGAUGGCUAAUACCGCAUGAUAGCUUCGGCUCAAAGAGGGGGACCUUCGGGCCUCUCGCGUCAGGAUAUGCCCAGGUGGGAUUAGCUAGUUGGUGAGGUAAUGGCUCACCAAGGCGACGAUCCCUAGCUGGUCUGAGAGGAUGAUCAGCCACACUGGAACUGAGACACGGUCCAGACUCCUACGGGAGGCAGCAGUGGGGAAUAUUGCACAAUGGGCGCAAGCCUGAUGCAGCCAUGCCGCGUGUGUGAAGAAGGCCUUCGGGUUGUAAAGCACUUUCAGUCGUGAGGAAGGUGGUGUUGUUAAUAGCAGCAUCAUUUGACGUUAGCGACAGAAGAAGCACCGGCUAACUCCGUGCCAGCCGCCGCGGUAAUAC